AACUGUGGUGGAGAUAUAUGUCUCCAGAGAAGAUUUGUCCUUGCUUCCGAGGAAUUCCCUGGAAUACAACCCAACUAGGACCACUUUAAUUCCUCAGUUUGGUACUUCCAAGACCUUGGACAAGGUUAAAUUGGAAUUCUGGACAUUUGUGAGGAUGUUUGAGAAGACUAUCAGAAAAUGAAUUGGUCUGAGAGUCAGGAAAUAAGAAUUUUAGAUCUGGAUCUAUUAAUAACCUUUAACAAAACCUUGCCUUCUUUAAGACUUGGUUUCCUUAAACAUAAAAUAAAGGUAAGGCUUGAUCUCCAUCAAUGUUUUACAAAUGGUGAUUCAUGUCACAUUGGGGGUCAUGAUAUCAGUUUGGUGAGUUGAAUCCAGCAUGCAGUAAUGAUAUGUAUUGUAUCAUGACACUUUAGUUCUGUAUGUGUGUGUGAGUGUGUUUGUGUACUAGAUUGUGAUACAGAUUUUACUUCUUACUAUGAGUUAUACUCAAAAACAUAUGAGAAACAUUGAUAUGGAUGACCUCUAAGCAUGUGAUCAACUCUAAAAAUCCAUUAUUCUUCCGUCUUCUGGAGUUGCUCUGAUCUUCUGAAUGGUUCUAAUCCUGGAUGAUUAAUUUAAUAGUAGCACUGGGGAUCCUCCUGUCCAAUCUUUGCCCAGUACAGCCCUGACUCUGCCUUCCUUCCUCCUACCUAGAGACUUAACAUUUUUCUGCAGCUUGAAAGUGGGAGAACCCUUCUCCAUCCCAUAUUAACACUUAGCUCAGGAAAUAAUCCCCACACAACCCUCCUUACUCCCAUGCCCUCCAUCUGGAGUUCCUGGGGGGAGAUGGGCUCUGGACCAUUGUUGGAGGCACUUUCAGGACGAUUGGAUCCAUUCUUCCAGCGGCCUCUCUCCUUGGCUUUUCCUAAGUGCAGCCAGCAUCUGCCCUUGCCUUGGGACUAGCUGUCCAGAAGAGGGGGUGCCUGGGUGGCAGGAGCUCAUCCCCAGGAUGCUAAUCCAUGCAUCUAUCAGCACCCAGAAUCCUCAGGGCCAAGAGACCACCUUGACAGAGAAAGGAGGAAUAAAGGCAGGAGGGACAUGGAAGAGGAAUGGGUCUCAGCAGGAGCUUGGAGUGCAUCCCUGAAAAAACAGAGAAGCUCGUCCCUGUGGUGAGGAGAUUUCAUGGGAGAUUGUUUUCCAGAGGGUGAGGGGAUUGCAGGGCUCCAGGCUCAGAGCAGUGAAGCAGCACAUGCCAUGAAGCCAGGCAAACAUGAGUUGUAAUCCCAGCUCUGUCUCUUACAAGCUCUGAUUUCCCUAAGCUUUAGGUUUCUUGUUCUCAAAAUAAUCCUGCUAUACAAGAUGUUAUCGUGUUUCAACGAGAUGAUGUAUCUGUGUGCCUGGCACAUAAUAAAUUCUCAAGAAAUGUUAUCUUUCCUCCUAGUGUCUAGAGGAAGUGAGGGAGGGUUCCCAAAGGUCAAAAUUAACAAAUGACUUCUGGACAGAAGUUCGUCUCUCUACCCCUUACCCCACUGCACUGUCCAAGUGGAUAAGUCUCUGCUUAUUUUGUAAUAUUAAGAACAAUUACCAUGCACUGACCACCAGUGAUUUUCCAGGUGUUGUGCUAGGCUCCUUGAAUAAAUUAUCUCAUUAAUUCUUACCAAAACCCUAUGUAGCAGGUUUUACUGCCCCAAUACAGAUUAGGAAACUAAGGCUCAGAGAAAUUAGUCAAAUUAUCUGAGGACCCAAAGCCAGAAAGUGGCGAACUAGGAUUCAUACCCUGAUCUAUGUGGCUAUAAAAAAGUCUUUGCCUGUUCCCCAACUCUGCUGUUUCUAUGCUUUGGUUUCUUCAUUUUUCAUUAAGGAGAAUAUGUCUUUUUUCUCUCUCUCUCCUUCUGAGGUAUCACAGAGCAAUGAGAAGGAGUGAAUGAAAGGAGGAUUAUUUGAGAGUGUCACUGAGUGACCCAUCUGCAGCAAAAACAGGUCUUUCUAUACAAAGGGGUAUGCGUAGCAGUGCAAUAUGUAUUGAAAUUACUCUAGAAUCAGAAGAACCUUACUUUUGACAAUUCCAGUCCAUUGGCAGUGGCAACUUGGCGUGCUGUGUUGGGAAUUCACAGACCACAUUUGCUGUGAUAAUUAGCGAUCUUCCCCAUGAGUGCAGGAGUGAAGAAGCUGGCACCAGGUACCAUGUUUUUGCCAUCCCAGCUCAAGAAGUUAGAUGCUUUCUCAUGGUUCCACUUGGAAAUUCCUGUGGUUUCCCAAACCACUGCAGUUAUAAGAAGUUAGAAAAGACACCAGAAUGGUACCCAUGAACUGAACACAGAAAUACAGGUGAGUACUCUGUGCCAGGCAUUUUGGCUAGAAAAUGUGGAUAUUGUGGUUUAUCAGAUAAAGCUCCUGAUCUUUGGAUCCCCUAAAAUGAAACCCUGUGAAAAUGAUUUGAGUGUGGAUAGUUUAUUUCAGGAGUGAUUCCAGGAAGGUAAGUGAGGAAGUGAAACAAGCAACACAAGAGAGAGAAGAGCCAACAGAGGGUACCUCAAGGAGAAGGCUAGCACAGCGGGCAGCUAGAGCCCAGUCCACUGCUGACUCCGACAGACUGUGUGGAACAUGCCCCAGAAUUGUCUCACCAGCAGGAAGGGAAGUUGGAGCAUUUAUAUAUGACUCCCAUCUCUCAUUUGUUGAGGACUGUUCCUAGAGCAUUAAUUCUCUUGUACUUCCAGGUUUUGCCUACAAGUGCUGCAGCAGUCUGCCCUGGUAUCACUGAAAGCCUUCAGUCAAAGAAAAAAUAUCCAGGAUCUUGAGUUGGGAAGCUGUUUGCAUACCACAGCUGCAGUUUCCUCCUGGAUCCACGGAAUAAAUCGAGCCACAGACACAAACAUACCAGGCCUCCCCCUGGAGCCAGACCUUAUGCCCCAACUGAAGACACCCACUUGGAAGAGCCUCUGGGUUCCAUGGAUGGUACAGACCAUAGGUGCCCCACUGUCUCCCUGGGAAUGAGAAGGAAGGAGGAGCAGUAGGCAAACAAUCAACAGUACCCUUUUGCAGGCAGAUGGGCAUUUUGAAGUUACUGAACUGUACUGGUGUGGCAAGCAGGAGCAGAGAGAGGUCGCUGUCAAUGUGGGGUGGUUUGUAAUCUUUGUGGAUAAUUAUCUUCUGCACUUGCUUUCUCUCCAAGUGGAUAUCGCUGAAUUUUCUGGUUCCCAUGACCACCGUCACAUUUCCCAUUGCCAUUUCUAAUCUAAAGAAUAAAUAUAAUAACACCAAUGCCAAUAAUAGUUGUACUGUAUUUCACAUUUGUAGAUACAUUUUUAAACAAUAGAGUUUAUAAAUAAAUACUGAGAAGUUCAAAGUAGUGAGAGUGUGGUGAUCCAGAGAGUAGCUGGAGAUCAAAUAGGCAGAAGUCAGGGGUCAAAACUCAGGAGAAUCUCUGAGCCAGUGAACUCUCAGCCCAGGGAGUUUUCCAUUAUCAAAGGAAGUGGAACAAAUCCAUCUGAGAGAACAGGAUGCAAGGUCCUUGAUGACAGGGAGCUUGGCUGUCUCACUACUGCUAUAUACCCCGGCUCUUAGAACAGCAUCUGGUGGCACAUAGUAGGUGUUCAGUGAGUAUGAACAGAAUGAGUGAGCACAAUGUAUUGUCUACAUAUACAGAUGACAGGCAGGAGGAGAGAAGCCUUUUACCAGUUUUCCAAUACUGACUGCAUAGCUUCAGUCCAACUUGGAUAUGGUUAAGUAAGUAAA
Molecule: long non-coding RNA, 3714 nt
Organism: Choloepus didactylus (southern two-toed sloth)
Lineage: Eukaryota; Metazoa; Chordata; Mammalia; Pilosa; Megalonychidae
Exons: 5
Source: RefSeq, a predicted model, not a curated record